This is a regulatory RNA element of 312 nucleotides. It matches the Rfam family "Soft rot Enterobacteriaceae Rev 39 5'UTR". Rfam says of the family: From bacteria cultured under starvation conditions. The record is from Rfam.
AAUUAUUGUAAAUCCCCUGUUAACUAUGGUAACUCUGUAGGUAUUACUUCGAACGAACUAACGAAAAAACAGACGACACAUGAAAGCCCUUCUACAAGUGAUUAGCCUAGUCGUGAUUAGCGUGGUGGUGAUUAUUAACCCACCGUGCGGGGCUACGCUUGGAGAAAGAAAGGCUUAAAAAUCAAGCCUGGAAUUCGAAAAACCCCCGUACCGUAAGGUCCGGGGGUUUUUUUUCGACCAGACGAAAUAUCAGCGAAUCAGCGAGGAACAGAUUAUGAGCAGUAGCAUAAAAUUCUGUUGUUCCAGCAGGAA